UCCAUACCUAUACCUCUAAUGAAGUAGAAAGGCUGUUUCUGAUAGACCCCUGGCUCAAGGCACGAGAUACCACACAAACACAUAGUAAAGCACAGAAGCAGAUUACAUAACAUAAAUACGGCACCCAUAAGUAAUAUAAAACAGAGGAAAGCAGAGGAAAGCACACAGAUUCGUAAUAAAACAUGGAACACGGAACACGGAAUCAUAACAGGAAUAAAACCCCCACCAAGUAAUCCCUACACUAGCGACCCAAACUGGCCCUAAUCCUCUGCCGAAAUUCGCGCCCUCCAGACCUUCUUAUCUAGGGUCAUGUCCUCGGUGAGCUGUAACUGUUCCAUGUCCCGCCUAAUCACCUCACCCCAGUACUUCUUCGGCCUACCCCUACCCCGCCUAAAACCAUCCAACGCUAGCCUCUCACACCUACGGACCGGGGCAUCCAUGCCCCUCCUCUUCACGUGUCCGAACCAUCUCAAUCGUGCUUCCCGCAUUUUGCACUCCACUGAAGUCACACCAACCUUCUCCCGGAUAGUCUCAUUCCGAACUUAUCCCCUCUAGUCAGUCCACACAUCCAGCGCAACAUCUGCAUUUCUGCCACCUUC
RNAcentral lists this long non-coding RNA (599 nucleotides) under Capsicum annuum. Its description in RNAcentral is "long non-coding RNA (CANN_LNC007921)". Lineage: Eukaryota; Viridiplantae; Streptophyta; Magnoliopsida; Solanales; Solanaceae. The record is from RNAcentral.